RNAcentral lists this ribosomal RNA (312 nucleotides) under uncultured eukaryote. RNAcentral describes it as "SSU rRNA". It matches the Rfam family "Eukaryotic small subunit ribosomal RNA", at positions 587 to 903 of the family's 1831-position model. The record is from RNAcentral.
AGCUCCAAUAGCGUAUAUUAAAGUUGUUGCGGUUAAAAAGCUCGUAGUUGGAUUUCUGUUGAGAACAGGCGGUCCACCUUUUGGGUGAGUAUCUGCAUUGGUCUCGGCAUCUUCUCGGAAUACGGUUCUGCGCUUGAUUGCGUGGAUCGGAGUUCGGGACUUUUACUUUGAGGAAAUUAGAGUGUUCACGGCAGGCAAUCGCCCUGAAUAUAUUAGCAUGGAAUAAUAAUAUAGGAUUUCAGGCCUAUUUUGUUGGUUUCUAGGCUUGAAAUAAUGAUUAAUAGGGACAAUUGGGGGCAUUCGUAUUAACGC